RNAcentral lists this long non-coding RNA (6475 nucleotides) under Fragaria vesca (wild strawberry). RNAcentral's name for it is "long non-coding RNA (FVES_LNC002500)". The record is from RNAcentral. Lineage: Eukaryota; Viridiplantae; Streptophyta; Magnoliopsida; Rosales; Rosaceae.
UCGCCUCUAACAUUUUCACACGAUGUUUAAAUGUCGUCUUUAGUUGAAUUAAUCUACGCAUAUAUGUUGUUGUAAGACAUUUUUCUCUCUCACUCGCAGUUAUCAGGCGACACAAAGAGAUGUGUCGCCUCACGGCAAAAAAAAGAUGUGUCGCCUUCUAGCAUGUCGACGUUUAUACAAUCAGGCGACAUAUAUACCCUGUCGCCUUAUCUUUUAUCAGGCGACACAUAAUGAAAAAAAGUCUUCUGUCGCCUGAUGUUUUUAUAGGCGACACAACAUUUGUGUCGCCUGAUAGUUUAAACGUCGACAUGCUAGAAGGCGACACAUACGAUUUGCAUCAGGCGACACAACAGUUGUGUCGCCUGAUGCAAGAAUUGGCAUAGUGUAAGCUUUAAAAAUUCCCAAACCUAUCCAAAACUCCUCCAAAAAUUCUAAAAUUUACAUCAAUAACUCCCAUUAAUAUUCCACAUUUAAAACCAUAAAAAUCUCCCAACCAGCGGCGGCCGGAGGCCUACUUCGACGACCUCCAAUGCCUGAGAAAUUUUGACAGCAUCUUCCUCUCAACCCCCUCUACAACUUUCUUAACAAGCACAAACAUCAAUUCCAAGCCUAACUAGGGUAAUCGAACCAAAACGUCCUAAAAACCCUAGAAAAUUCAGCUCCACACAUCUCCUUACCUAGCUCAAGAGAGGGUGAGACCUUUGGAGGGGUUGCUGCACGGGAGGAGGGCUUCAAAACGAGCCAAAGAUCGCUGGCUUUGGCGGCCAGAGGAGGGAGUUCCGGCGACAACACAGUCGGCCCUUCGGGAUGAGUUUCCUCCCGUUUGACGGCGCUGUGGCAGUGCUCACCGACCUAGGGUGAGAAAGGAGGAGACGCCGGUCCUAACGGGACCGGUGCGGUAGCCUUGCUCGGCCGGACGGCGGCGGCGGGCGCUGGUCUUCCCGCGAAGGGAGAGAGAGCUUGGGAUGUAGAACCGGGAAAAGAGAGAGAGAUAGUUUGGGCCUCCCCAAACCGGUCCAACACCAAUAUAACCACAACCAAAAAAAAAAAAAAAAAACCCGAACUCCCAAAAAUUUACACCGUAAAAUAAUACCCUAAUAAAAAUUACAUUUUACUAGCUAAAAUUUACCAUUUUUACCGUCGUCAUAAAUUUCUCCUACGAAUAGUUCUCCGUAAAUAACUGUCCCCCAAACCCCUCUAGGGACCAGUUAAACUAUAACCUCAAUGAUGGAGACGGUAAAAUUCUUAUUAUAACCAAGCUAGUAAAUAAGGUAAAAAUUUAAGGGUCGGGAUGUGAUAAUUCUCUCCUCCUUAUAAAAAUUUCGUCCUCGAAAUUUACAUACAUGUCAUUCGAAGAGAUAGGGAUACUGCUACAUCAUUUGCUCCUCUGAUUCCCAAGUAGCUUCUUCUACUUGAUGACUUCUCAAAAGCACCUUGACAAGUGGGAUUGUUUUGUUCCUAACCACUUGCUCCUUUCGGUCGAGAAUCUGAACCGGUUCCUCUUCAUAGGUCAAAUCUUUCGUCAAACUGAUCGGCUGCUCUUGUAGCACAUGAGAGGGAUCAGCAAUAUACUUGAGAAGCAUGGAUACAUGAAACACAUUAUGUAUCCUGGAUAACUCUGGAGGCAACAACAGCCGAUAAGCAAGUGAGCCAACUCGCUCUAUAAUUUCAUAAGGGCCAAUAUACCUCGGACUAAGCUUCCCACGUUUACCAAAACGCACGACCCCUUUCUAAGGAGAUAGUUUCAAGAACAGCCAAUCACCCACUUGAAACUUAAGGUCUUUCCUACGGACAUCUGCAUAACUCUUCUGCCUACUUUGAACGGCCUUGAGUCUAUCUCUGACCACUUUAAUCUUCUCAUUCGUAUCAUGGAUCAACUCUAGGCCACAAAGCUCUUUUUCCCCUACUUCAUUCCAACACAAAGGGCGUAUGACACUGCUUCCCAUAAAGUGCCUCAAAGGGAGCCAUACCAAUGCUAGAAUGAUAGUUAUUAUUAUAAGCAAAUUCCAUAAAAGAUAGGUUUUUAUCCUAACUCCCUCUGAACUGCAAGGCACAAUCCCUCAACAUAUCCUCCAAAGUCUGAAUAGUCCUCUCGGACCGCCCAUCAGUCUGAGGAUGAAAAGUAGUGCUGAAGUGUAAUCGGGUGCCUAAAGCUGCCUAAAGAGCUCCCCAAAAUUUAGAAGCAAAUCUAGGAUCCCGAUCCGACACUAUUGAUUCAGGUACACCAUGAAGCCUCACAAUUUCAUUCACAUAAAGCUCCGCCAAUUUAUCCAAUUUAUACUUCUUUCCCACUAGCAAGAAAUGUGCAGACUUGGUGAGUCUAUCCACAAUCACCCAAAUACCAUCAUGCCCUUCACGGGUACGAGGUAAAGUGAAAACAAAAUCCAUGGUGAUGUUGUCCCACUUCCACACUGGAACAGGCAACGACUCAAGCAAUCUAGAAGGCUUCUGCCUUUCAGCCUUUACUUGUUGACAAAUCAGACAUCUACUCACAAAAGCUGCAAUUUCCCUCUUCAUGUUUGGCCACCAAUAAUAAUCUUUUAAAAUCCGAUACAUUUUUGUGCUACCCGGAUGAGCAGCAUAAGCAGAAUUAUGAGCUUCCUCCAUAAUCUCACUCUUCAGCUCUUCAUUUCUUUUUGGAACACAAAGCCGAUUCUUAAACAAUAAAGUCCCAUCCCUUCUAACUGAGAAAUGAUCGGCGGCGGCUCCGUUCAAAGCUCUUUCUAUCAAUCGAAUUAUGGAAUGAUCAUUACACUGUGCUUCCCGCACUCUAUCAACCAAAACUGGCCUCACAUGAAAACUAGCUACUAAGGCACCCACUUCAUCCACCGAUAAAUCUACCCCUGAAGCUCGCAACUCAAAAAGAAGAUGAACUCGAACCGUCCUCAAGUGAGACAAAGAUAUGGAGGGAUUUCGACUAAGAGCAUCCGUUACCAAGUUAGGUUUUCCAGGAUGGUAUUCAAUAGUGCAAUCAUAAUCAUUGAUCAACUCCAUUCACCUUCUCUGUCUCAAGUUUAGCUCUCUUUGAGUGAACACAUACCGAAGGCUCUUGUGAUAGGUAAAAAUCUGACACUUGGCCCCAUAAAGGUAGUGUCUCCACAACUUGAGAGAAAAAAUUACCGUUGCAAGCUCUAGAUCAUGAGUGGGAUAAUUCCCUUCAUGCAGCUUUAAUUGCCUAGAAGGGUAGGCAAUAACUCGAUCAUGCUGCAUCAAUACCCUACCUAGACCACGUCUAGAAGCAUCACAAUAAACCAUGUACUCCCCACUAUCAUCCGGAAGUGUCAAAACAGGAGCACUAGUCAAGCGAUUCUUCAAUUCUUGAAAACUUAGCUCACACUGAUCUGACCAUUCGAACUUAACUCCCUUCUUGGUCAAUCUUGUAAGAGGAGCAUCAAUCUUUGAAAAAUCUUGCACAAAGCGCCGAUAAUAACCUGCUAAUCCCAAGAAACUACGAAUCCCCGUCACAGUGGUGGGUCUUCUCCAAUUUAACACUGCUUCCACCUUUUGGGGAUCCACACUAACUCCUUUUGCCGAAACCACAUGACCCAAGAACCCCACUUUAUCAAGCCAAAACUCACACUUGCUAAACUUAGCAUAUAACUGAGAAUUUCUCAAAGUCCGCAAUAUUAUUCUUAGAUGCUUGGCAUGCUCCUUCUCACUUCUUGAGUAAACCAAGAUGUCAUCUAUGAAUACGAUCACGAAACGAUCAAGAUAUGGACUAAACACCCUAUUCAUGAGGUCCAUGAACACCGCGGGUGCAUUAGUAAGUCCAAAUGGCAUCACCACAAAUUCAUAAUGCCCAUAGCGUGAUCGAAAAGCAGUCUUGGCUAUGUCACCCUCUUGGAUCCGUAACUGAUGAUAACCAGAUCUCAAGUCAAUCUUGGAGAAAACAGAAGCACCUCUCAACUGAUCAAAUAAAUCAUCAAUGCGCGGCAAAGGAUAUUUAUUCUUCACCGUGACUUGAUUCAAUUUCCUAUAAUCAAUGCAUAGUCUCAUGGUGCAAUCUUUCUUCUUAACAAACAACACUAGAGCACCCCAUGGAGACAUGCUAGGCCGAAUAAAACCCUUGUCUACCAACUCCUGCAAUUGAGUCUUCAAUUCCUUCAAUUCCGCUGGAGCCAUUCUGUAAGGUGCUUGAGAGAUAGGUAUAGUUCCAAGAAGUAAUUCAAUAGAGAAGUCUAUCUCCCUUUCAAGAGGCAAACCAGGCAACUCCUCAGGAAAAACAUCCGGAAACUCUUUUACAACAGGAAUAUCUUCUACUCCCAAAACCCCCAUACUUGUAUCCACAACGUGAGCUAAAUAUGCCUGACAGCCUUUAUUUAACAAUUUUCUAACAGCAACAGCAGAUAUCAGGCAACUCGAAAUGACAUCUCUUUCCCCUUAAAAUGUAACCUCAAAUCCACUUGGACUUCGAAGCACCACUACUUUUUGAAAACAAUCUACCAUAGCUUUAUAAGCUUCCAAAAAGUCCAUUCGAAAGAUCACAUCAAACUCCACUAUAUCUAAAGGAAUUAAAUCGGCCUUGAAACUAACUCCUACUAAAACUUCACAACCACUAAACACCCAAUUUAUCCUCAUCACCUCACCGGAGGGUAGAGACACAUGCCACUCGCUUGGAAGAGACGAUGAUAGCACAUUGGCAUGGAGGCCAAAUCUACUAGACAUAAAUGAAUGCGUGGCUCCAUGAUCAAUUAAAGUAAAUGCAGGCUGGCCAAAAAUUAAUAACGUACCAAUGAUGACAUCUGGAGAAGUACGACCCUCCAUGGGACGUCCACGCUGACCACCACCCUGCCGAGAGCUACCACUAGCCGAUGCACUGCCCUGGGCACCACUACUGAAGCCUCUAGCUGAAGACUGACCAACUGGUUGAGUAUGAGUAGGGGUAGGGGUGGUCCUCUGAGCCAACAAUGGACAAUCUCUCCUGAAGUGGUCCUGACCACCACACUCAAAACAUCCAGAAAACUGCUGCUGCCCAUAAGAAAAAGUCUGACUACUAGAGGACCCACCAUGGAAGCUGCCACCAGACCCAUACUGACCAGACUGUUGCCUACCCAAAUGACUCCGAGAAGGUCUCCUGAAACGUCUUAUAUUCCUGUUCCGAGCACCAAAACUCGAUCCCCCACUUCCGCCAUUGCCAGUAGAAGACCCAGACGCGGAUGAUAAAGCAGCCUUCUUGGAUGGACCCUGACUAGAGCCACUGUAAUCACGGGGCCGAGCACCAUGUAAUCUCAAUGGCCAUGGCUGCACUAACCGUAUCCAUAAAGGUCGGGUAAAUUACACUCGUCAUCUGGUCUGCAUACACACCACCAAGUGCCCCAACGAACAUCUCAAUCUUGGUCUUCUCAUCCGGAACCAGGUAUUGCAGAUGAUAGCUCUGCUCGAACUCUAUGACCCCCUUAUUAUCCCUCUUCUGAAUGUUCAGGAACUCUGACUGAAUCCUACUGCGGUGGCCAUGAUUGAAAUACUGCCCUAAGAAUAGCGUCUUAAACUGCUCCCAUGUCAUAUUCUAAGCAUCCUCAACAUUCCUGCUGGUAAGCGACCACCAGUGAUGAGCUGAAUCAUCCAGAAAAGUCACUGUCAUCUUCACUUUCUUAUCUUCUGGCAACCCAGAGCUCUCAAAAGCCUUUUCCAUCUUGUCUACCCAAUUAUAAGCAUCAAGGGGUCCCUUGGCACCCUUAAACUCCCUUGCUCCACCUUCAUAAACAUCCUUCUUCUUCACAGUCCGAGGGUUCUGAGUUCGCUCCAGCACUCCCCUCAACAUAUCUCCAAUAGAAUUUACUAGCUCCCUGACCUCAUUGCCCUCAUUGGCGUUGGUCGAACUACCCUCACGGGGUUGGCGUACGCGUUGGCGUCUAUGAGGCAUAGUACCUAAGGAAGAAGAUAUUUAGUAGUCUAUAAACAAGACUAACACAACUAUCACACAUACCCAAUAACAAAUAGCAUCCAAAGCAUAAACUGCCAAUGAAUUCGUCGCGGUCGGAUCAUCACUCUAUAGACACUACGUGCUACUUAGGUAAAUAUGAUAGUGACAAGGAGGCAGGAAAUGAAACCUAAUACUCUGAUACUAACUGUCAAGACCCACCCCAAAUUUUACCCUAAAACCUAGAGUAAGUCCCGCGGGGACCACCUCCAAGGAAAAUUUACCGAAAAAUUCGGCAUAACCUCCCUUGAAAAUGGACAACUCUAUCUUGAAAAAUUCAGAUAACACUCCUAUACCAACACAUCUAACCUCAACACCUGGAGCCACCCGCUCUCCCACAACACAUCCACCACACACAAAAAUAAUAUCAUCUUCUAAUCCAACACAUAAAUAUCCAAUUUAUAUCAUACACCAUCCUUUGGAUAUCCCCCAAAUUAAUAAACAAAGACUUAGCACACAACCGAACUAUUAUACAAAUAAUCCAAAGAUAAAGAGAUGGUUUGGGCCUCCCCAAACCGGUCCAACACCAAUAUAACCACACCAAAAAAAAAAAAA